Long non-coding RNA from Onychomys torridus (southern grasshopper mouse), 1923 nucleotides. RefSeq lists it as uncharacterized. NCBI's taxonomy places the organism in Eukaryota, Metazoa, Chordata, Mammalia, Rodentia, Cricetidae. The transcript has 3 exons. The record is from RefSeq and is a predicted model, not a curated record.
AGAGACACAAAAGUCAGGAAGUGACCCUUUCGUGGGGACUGCAGAGGCCACAGAGGAGAAACAAAGUCCCCUCACAACUGGGAAGACGGACCGUACCAUCCUAGGGGGCCGGAGUAGGGAAGAGGGCGUUGGAAAAUGAUAUCCUCGCUCUCAAGGAGCCGGCGAGGACACGGGAUUUCCCGGCUGAAAAGCCCCAGUGUCUGCCUGUCCUGGCCGAGCCUCUCCCCUGCCGUGGAGGCCUGGGUACCGCAGCCCGGGGGCGCCCUGCAUCACCACUCUGUGAGCGGGCGGGGCCCUGCUCCCCAGCCUGGGGAUGGAUGGCGUGCCCUAGCCAGCCCAUCUGCGGCCACGGCUGGUCCGGGAGGAAGCCGUCCCCGGGGAUGAAUGGGGCUUUGUUCGCUGCCAGCCGCGCUCCCCUCGCGGCCCGGCCAGGCACAACGGAGGCAGUAUGCGACAGGCAUGGAAAUGAGCCGCGGGCUCUCCCCUCGCAGCGCCCAGGAAUGCUGGCCAGCCGGAAAGGAGCCCUCGCCGGGGACCCGCUCCCGCGCCUCUGAAACCCCAUUGAGAAGGGCUCUUUGAAGCAAUUAAAGCGUGUUUCACGGCGGCCUGGGAGGGGCCCGGGUCGGCCAGCUUCUCUUUUACCCUCCUUCUCUGUCCUACCCUGUUUGUGCACCUUGGUGUGGCGGGUUACCUAGAGACCAGGCCAGAACCAGCUCCCUCUCAUGCAGAGAUUCUGUAAACUCACAAAAGCGUCCCCAUAAACAGAUUGCUUGUCACCAGGGGGUGGGGGUGUGUGUGGCGGGGUGGAACCCAGUUUGGACCUGAUCCAAGCUGACCUGCAGAGCCUGGGUUCCUGCUUUCAAAGGCCUCUUUGCUGGGCCCUACACCCACCUGCCCUUGCUGUCAGGUCUGGGCGGGAGGAGAAAUCGCCUCUGGACAAGGAAGUCCUGAGGCUGCGGCUCAGCAUUUUCCAUUUUCUCAGCGGCGGGGUGGGCUGUGUUCAGGUCUAGAAGUGAUGUCACAGCCAGCCCUGUGAGUGAUGUAACCUGCACAUGUUGAAGGACUAGGACCGGGCGGCUAUUUUGAGACUCUUGAGUUCCUUCCUUCCUCCCUGGAGACAAGUGGAUGACUGUGGAGAACUCACAAAGCUGCUCUGGGUACAGAGGUUUUCGUCUGUUCCAGUGAAAAAUCCUAAGGCCGGAGAACUGACGCCAUAAAAGCGGGCGUGCUUGUGAAAUUCUUUCUAAAUUGGAGGUGGGCACAUGGGGCAAGUGUGUGGAUUGGAGCCCCCCAGUAACAUCCAUGUAAAAAGGUUUCACUGAGUUCUCUGGUUGACUUUAUACCCUUUUUCCUUGAGACUGUUAAAGUGUGCUUCUCCUCCAGCAGGUGCUUCCUGGAGAACAUGAUCUUUUGUUGUAUCUUUGUUGUAUGUUUUGAGACAGGGUCUUGAGUUCCCUCCGUAGUCAAAGAUGAUGUUCUAUUCCAGAUCCGACUGCCUCCGCCUCCCAAGUGCUGGACUUCCAGGCAUGUGCUGCCUUGACUGUCAGGAUCUCGGGAUCCCUGAGCCUUGUAAUUUGACUAUUAGCCUGAAAAAUGACCAGAAGACCUCUCCUUUAUUUACCAGCUGACCCAUGACCUUAAUGAGGCGUCUCUAGAGGAAGCUCCAAGUGGACCAGGGAUCGCUUCUGCAGUCAACAUCUACAGUAGUUGAUGACGACAGGACAUAUUAUCCAGGGCCCUGAAUAAAUGAAGCUAAGCAUUGGAUCUAGUUGCCGACAAGACACUUGUCUUUGCAACCUCUUCCCGUGCCUCUAUGCUGUCCCAGGUUUCCAUCUUCAAGAUUACCAGGGGCCCAAUGACUAGAACUAAUAUCUUACCUUUGAUGGAAAAAGAAUGGAGAGGGGGUAGAAGAGAGGUGGAGCA